This 330-nucleotide ribosomal RNA is filed under the name uncultured Pseudomonadota bacterium. Its description in RNAcentral is "bacterial SSU rRNA". It matches the Rfam family "Bacterial small subunit ribosomal RNA", at positions 568 to 898 of the family's 1533-position model. Lineage: Bacteria; Pseudomonadati; Pseudomonadota. The record is from RNAcentral.
CGCGUAGGCGGAUAUUUAAGUCGGGGGUGAAAGCCCAGGGCUCAACCCUGGAAUUGCCUUCGAUACUGGAUAUCUUGAGUUCGGGAGAGGUGAGUGGAAUGCCGAGUGUAGAGGUGAAAUUCGUAGAUAUUCGGCGGAACACCAGUGGCGAAGGCGACUCACUGGCCCGAUACUGACGCUGAGGCGCGAAAGCGUGGGGAGCAAACAGGAUUAGAUACCCUGGUAGUCCACGCUGUAAACGAUGAGUGCUAGUUGUCGGCAUGCAUGCAUGUCGGUGACGCAGCUAACGCAUUAAGCACUCCGCCUGGGGAGUACGGUCGCAAGAUUAAA